UAAUACGUAGGGUGCGAGCGUUGUCCGGAAUUAUUGGGCGUAAAGAGCUUGUAGGCGGUUUGUCGCGUCUGCUGUGAAAUUCUGGGGCUUAACUCCGGACGUGCAGUGGGUACGGGCAGACUAGAGUGUGGUAGGGGAGACUGGAAUUCCUGGUGUAGCGGUGAAAUGCGCAGAUAUCAGGAGGAACACCGAUGGCGAAGGCAGGUCUCUGGGCCAUAACUGACGCUGAGAAGCGAAAGCAUGGGUAGCGAACAGGAUUAGAUACCCUGGUAGUCCAUGCCGUAAACGUUGGGCGCUAGGUGUGGGGCUCAUUCCACGAGUUCUGUGCCGCAGCUAACGCAUUAAGCGCCCCGCCUGGGGAGUACGGCCGCAAGGCUA
RNAcentral lists this ribosomal RNA (378 nucleotides) under uncultured bacterium. RNAcentral describes it as "bacterial SSU rRNA". It matches the Rfam family "Bacterial small subunit ribosomal RNA", at positions 521 to 896 of the family's 1533-position model. The record is from RNAcentral.